AUACGGAGGGUGCAAGCGUUACUCGGAAUCACUGGGCGUAAAGCGCGCGCAGGCGGUCUUUUAAGUUGGAUGUGAAAGCCUACGGCUCAACCGUAGAACUGCAUCCAAAACUAUUAGACUAGAGUGUGGGAGAGGAAGAUGGAAUUAGUUGUGUAGGGGUAAAAUCCGUAGAGAUAACUAGGAAUACCAAAAGCGAAGGCAAUCUUCUGGAACACUACUGACGCUGAGGCGCGAAAGCGUGGGGAGCAAACAGGAUUAGAUACCCGUGUAGUCC
This 274-nucleotide ribosomal RNA is filed under the name uncultured bacterium. RNAcentral describes it as "partial 16S ribosomal RNA". It matches the Rfam family "Bacterial small subunit ribosomal RNA", at positions 523 to 796 of the family's 1533-position model. The record is from RNAcentral.